RNA transcript from Theobroma umbraticum, 1663 nucleotides. It is a transcript of the gene named ALA-interacting subunit 1-like, with no coding region annotated. The record is from RefSeq and is a predicted model, not a curated record. NCBI's taxonomy places the organism in Eukaryota, Viridiplantae, Streptophyta, Magnoliopsida, Malvales, Malvaceae.
UUUUAAUUAUUUCUUUUGAAGCUAACAAAAUACUUCAAAACAAACAAGUAUCUAAUUAAAACCCUCCCAGAAAAAGAAAAAAUAAAAAACCGAAAAGAAGGUUUGUAAUGUUGUGUUGCUGUAGGAAUUUUGAGGAAGAAGAGAUCUGAGAAGAAAAAGAAAUCAAUAUAUAUAUUUAUAUAUUUAUAUCUAUAUCUGCGGAGGAGGAGGGUAGUGUGAUAGUGGGUCAUGGAGAUGAAUAACAACGGAGCCGCCACGAGCUCCGCUGCUGCUGGUGGAGGUGGCGUUUCAACUUCAACCUCUGAUUCAUCUUCAGCGGCCAAAAGGAAUUCCAAAAAACCAAAAUAUUCUAGGUUCACACAGCAAGAGCUUCCUGCUUGCAAGCCCAUUCUCACACCAGGAUUGGUCAUUACAACAUUUACCAUCAUUGGAAUCAUCUUUAUCCCAAUUGGACUUGUUUCAUUGUCUGCAUCAGAGCAUGUGGUGGAAAUUGUGGACCGCUAUGAUGAAGGCUGUGUUCCUCCUAAUUAUUCCAAAGAUAAACUUGCAUACAUCCAAAGCAGUCUAACUAACAAGUCUUGCACCAGGACGUUGAAUGUUCCUAAGCUGAUGAAAAGUCCUGUUUUCAUCUAUUAUCAGCUUGAUAACUUCUACCAGAACCAUCGGCGUUAUGUUAAAAGUCGAAGUGAUAAACAGUUGCGGAGCAAGGCAUAUGAGCGUGAUACAAAAAGUUGUGACCCUGAAGGUUUUGUAUUAGAUGGUCCGAUUGUUCCUUGUGGCCUCAUUGCAUGGAGUUUGUUCAAUGACACAUAUGGAUUUUCUGUGAAAAGUAAGAUGUUAGAAGUCAACAAAAAGAACAUAGCAUGGGACAGUGACAAAGAACAUAAAUUUGGAUCUGAUGUUUACCCAAAAAAUUUCCAGAGUGGAGGUUUGAUUGGAGGUGCAAAACUGAAUUCGAGCAUACCUUUAAGUGAACAAGAGGAUCUUAUCGUUUGGAUGCGUACAGCAGCACUACCAACUUUCAGAAAACUCUAUGGGAGGAUAGAGGAGGACCUCCAAGCCAAUGAGCAAAUUACUGUUGUAAUACAGAACAAUUAUAACACCUACAGUUUUGGGGGCAAGAAGAAGUUGGUACUUUCAACCACAAGUUGGAUUGGUGGAAAAAAUGAUUUCCUUGGCAUAGCAUAUAUUAGUGUAGGGGGGCUGUGCUUGUUUUUGGCAGUAAGCUUCAUACUUCUUUAUGUUAUCAAGCCAAGGCCUCUUGGUGAUCCGUCCUACUUGUCUUGGAACAGAAGUCCAUCGGGCCAUCCAAAUUAGGAUUGCUAUAAAUUGAACUUCACUUAUUCAGCUUCUUAUAAAUCCAUCUUCCGCUCUGAGUGUACUUGUUUUUGCCAAAUUAAUACAAAGAUAAAAAUUCCUGGAUAACCUUGUUCAUAAUGUUGCAAUUUAUUUUGGGAAAGCUAGCAUUUCAAGCUCAGGAUUCUUCAGCUAGCACGUAUUCCUUCUUCAUUCGGACCCCAUAGAUUCAUUUAUACUGCCUACAACUGGAUUGUACCAAAUUUUAACAUACUUUUCUGUUGCUCUGCAUAUCUAGUAAGUAGGAUCUAUUAUGAACUUAUAUUUUUUCCUAUUCCUGGAUGAAAGGAUAUCUGAACAUUCAUUU